This 288-nucleotide ribosomal RNA is filed under the name uncultured bacterium. RNAcentral's name for it is "partial 16S ribosomal RNA". It matches the Rfam family "Bacterial small subunit ribosomal RNA", at positions 775 to 1067 of the family's 1533-position model. The record is from RNAcentral.
GGAUUAGAUACCCUGGUAGUCCACGCUGUAAACGAUGUGUGCUAGGUGUUGGCCCGUUUGGGUCAGUACCGCAGCUAACGCGUUAAGCACACCACCUGGGGAGUACGUUCGCAAGAAUGAAACUCAAAGGAAUUGACGGGGGCCCGCACAAGCGGUGGAGCAUGUGGCUUAAUUCGAUGCAACGCGAAGAACCUUACCCGGGCUAAAUCACAGCUGACCGUCCCUGAAAGGGGAUUUCUCUUCGGAGCGGUUGUGAAGGUGCUGCAUGGCUGUCGUCAGCUCGUGCCG